Long non-coding RNA from Oryzias melastigma (Indian medaka), 1327 nucleotides. RefSeq lists it as uncharacterized. The record is from RefSeq and is a predicted model, not a curated record. The transcript is spliced from 3 exons. NCBI's taxonomy places the organism in Eukaryota, Metazoa, Chordata, Actinopteri, Beloniformes, Adrianichthyidae.
CCCGUCAAGGAAAAUUCUUUUCUCCGUGUGUACUUUGUUUUAUUUGUGUUUUUGGGUGUUGAAUUUGAGGAUUUUCGUUACACUGUCGGUAAUAAUGUUCAGGAGACCUCCAGUCACGGAUUUGUUUUUAUCCAUUCAUGUCAGAAUAAACCAGAGAGAAACCUAAGACGCGUCAUCAUCCUGAUUCGAACAGAACACACAGGAACGGACGAGACAUUCAAGGACCAGAGGAACGUGGCAGGCGCCUGUUAAAUAAGGUGUGCACCUGGCGUCUUCUCCUCCUUCUACCUGUCACCUCAGGGAUGGAGGGAUGAGUGAGUACCGGUAAGGGAAAAAAAGAGAAAUUCCCAGUGGAGUAGACAUGAUUGCAGACAUUCCUUGGGUGUGAGUUGCAACAAUCCCUCCCCUUUAAUCCCGCCCCAGUAAAAAAAAAAAAAAAAAAAGAAUACGAGUCCAAAACGCCCCGGGCCAAACGCGACCCCGAGUCUAACACACACCCAGGCACGCUCCCAUUCACACAGAGAAAGUGCACAGCCGCCUGAGACGGCAGGAUAAAGACAUCACCUGUCACGCUUGUCAGCUCGUGCCGCUCUGCAACAAAACCGAAGUGUUGGAGUGGGCAGCCCAAAAAACGGCGAGACAAAAAGAACUGUAAUGGUGGGAUGGAGACAUCAUCCGUUACACUCAACUGUCAACUGUCCAAACACAGCCGCCCACCUGUCCUCGCAAACACGCACCGCGAACACACAUCCGAAUCUGUAAACACACCAAUUACCUGACAGCAGCAUGGGGUCUGGGGGAAAUUGCAGCUUCAUUAUCAUAGCAGUUAUUAUGUUAACCCACAUAUCCGAGGCAUGGCCGCACUGCCGUGUGUAAUGACGGGGUCAGGCGCCGGGGGCUGACACCAUGUCCGCGAGGUGGAGGGAGGAGGUCAUGUUAUGAAAAUACAUGCGUCGGGUUGGAAAGGUAAAGGUGCGUCUGUCGUAACGAGUGUUUAGGCCGUGCAAAUGAAAGAGUGCGCAUGCAUUCCUGUAAUAGUACACCAGGUAUUUCCUCAGAAAUGGCAGGAACAGUAGGAGUUUUUAAGGAGUUUUUUUUAAGGAUUACUGGUGUGGAUUCUCAUCAAGUCGAGGUCUACUGGGCGAUGGAUUCCUGGAGACAUUUUGUUUCCAAUCACUUUACCUAUAAACCACCAGUCUACAACUGAAGUUAUCUUGAGGUGUCAACUGAGAAACAGACUAAAUUUAUCCUGGUUGGUAUAAACCAAGUUAGUCUAAAUAAUCCAGUGAGGCUAGUAUCUCGAAGCGCUUGUACUAUCCUAGAUAAA